Molecule: ribosomal RNA, 495 nt
Filed under: uncultured bacterium
Lineage: Bacteria
Description: partial 16S ribosomal RNA
Rfam family: Bacterial small subunit ribosomal RNA
Source: RNAcentral
GACGAACGCUGGCGGCGUGCCUAAUACAUGCAAGUAGAACGCUGAAGGAGGGGCUUGCUUCUCUGGAUGAGUUGCGAACGGGUGAGUAACGCGUAGGUAACCUGCCUGGUAGCGGGGGAUAACUAUUGGAAACGAUAGCUAAUACCGCAUAAGAGUAGAUGUUGCAUGACAUUUACUUAAAAGGUGCAAUUGCAUCACUACCAGAUGGACCUGCGUUGUAUUAGCUAGUUGGUGAGGUAACGGCUCACCAAGGCAACGAUACAUAGCCGACCUGAGAGGGUGAUCGGCCACACUGGGACUGAGACACGGCCCAGACUCCUACGGGAGGCAGCAGUAGGGAAUCUUCGGCAAUGGACGGAAGUCUGACCGAGCAACGCCGCGUGAGUGAAGAAGGUUUUCGGAUCGUAAAGCUCUGUUGUAAGAGAAGAACGAGUGUGAGAGUGGAAAGUUCACACUGUGACGGUAUCUUACCAGAAAGGGACGGCUAACUACGUG